RNAcentral lists this ribosomal RNA (253 nucleotides) under uncultured bacterium. RNAcentral describes it as "partial 16S ribosomal RNA". It matches the Rfam family "Bacterial small subunit ribosomal RNA", at positions 524 to 776 of the family's 1533-position model. The record is from RNAcentral.
UACGGAGGGUGCAAGCGUUAUCCGGAUUCACUGGGUUUAAAGGGUGCGUAGGAGGGUAGGUAAGUCAGGGGUGAAAUCUUCGAGCUUAACUCGGAAACUGCCGUUGAUACUAUCUAUCUUGAAUACCGUGGAGGUGAGCGGAAUAUGUCAUGUAGCGGUGAAAUGCUUAGAUAUGACAUAGAACACCAAUUGCGAAGGCAGCUCGCUACACGAAUAUUGACUCUGAGGCACGAAAGCGUGGGGAUCAAACAGG